UACGUAGGGGGCAAGCGUUGUCCGGAAUCAUUGGGCGUAAAGAGCGUGUAGGCGGUCCGGUAAGUCGGCUGUGAAAGUCCAGGGCUCAACCCUGGGAUGCCGGUCGAUACUGCCGGACUAGAGUUCGGAAGAGGCGAGUGGAAUUCCCGGUGUAGCGGUGAAAUGCGCAGAUAUCGGGAGGAACACCAGUGGCGCAAGCGGCCGCCUGGCACUGACCUGACACUGAGCCACGACGGCGUGGGGAGCAAACGGG
RNAcentral lists this ribosomal RNA (253 nucleotides) under uncultured bacterium. Its description in RNAcentral is "partial 16S ribosomal RNA". It matches the Rfam family "Bacterial small subunit ribosomal RNA", at positions 524 to 776 of the family's 1533-position model. The record is from RNAcentral.